AGCUAAUAAAUCCAGUGGUAAGAUGGGAGUUGGAAGUUGGAAGUUGGCCCAUGGAAUCGUGUCAGCAGUUGGCUAAGUUGGCUAAGUACGGCCAUAACUUUCGGUUUUCAUGGGCAUGUAACCAGUAGGAGUUAAAGUCUCCACUUUGUCCAGACUACUGUACCGCGAGCUUCUGAUUUUUAUGAAGUUAACCGACAAUACGAACUCUGCAUGCUAAGCAACUUGUACUCAAUUUGAAUAUUAAUUUACCAGAAAUGAAUGGUGAAUAUGCCCAGACCAGGUAUCUCAUAUUCAGUGCUGCAUUUGCAAACUGAACCGCUAUUUGAAUGACACAAUAAAUUGCCAGGCUAUGC
Molecule: non-coding RNA, 353 nt
Organism: Drosophila melanogaster (fruit fly)
Lineage: Eukaryota; Metazoa; Arthropoda; Insecta; Diptera; Drosophilidae
Source: Ensembl